This 305-nucleotide ribosomal RNA is filed under the name uncultured bacterium. RNAcentral describes it as "bacterial SSU rRNA". It matches the Rfam family "Bacterial small subunit ribosomal RNA", at positions 333 to 636 of the family's 1533-position model. The record is from RNAcentral.
AUAGCCUACGGGGCGCAGCAGUGAGGAAUAUUGGUCAAUGGGCGCGAGCCUGAACCAGCCAAGUCGCGUGAGGGAAGACGGUCCUAUGGAUUGUAAACCUCUUUUGUCGAGGAGCAAAAGACGCCACGCGUGGCGUUCCGAGAGUACCCGAAGAAAAAGCAUCGGCUAACUCCGUGCCAGCAGCCGCGGUAAUACGUAGGGGGCAAGCGUUAUCCGGAAUUACUGGGUGUAAAGGGAGCGUAGACGGUUAAGUAAGUCUGGAGUGAAAGGCCGGGGCCCACCCCCGGGACUGCUCUGGAAACUAU